GGUGGUUCUCGGGUGACGCACCCUGGAAUCGGGCUCCCUCCUCUCUGAUGCCAGGUACGUCACCCCAGAACCACC
Non-coding RNA from Myotis lucifugus (little brown bat), 75 nucleotides. The record is from Rfam. NCBI's taxonomy places the organism in Eukaryota, Metazoa, Chordata, Mammalia, Chiroptera, Vespertilionidae.